UCUGAGCUGUGGCGACUGUACAGGACCGUAAAGUGUCUAGUACCAUAAACUGUAUCUCUAUUCAUGCUGUAUUCACAUCUAAACAAAGCCUCUCUGCCGAUAAUUACAGGUUUAUGAGAUCUACAGUACUGUAACAACCAAAGUUUGAGGAAUUAAUCCAGAUCACAUUCUGUUUGAGUUCUGAACAUUUUUCUUGUACAAGUUAAUCUCUGGAGGAGGGAGGGUUUAAAGCUUUGACAUCUGAUGUGAUCUUGAUAAGUGUCUGUAAGAGAAGUCUGUUCAACAGAACAUAAGGAACAAACACAAUGAUGCUCCAUUCUUUUAUUCUGCUUUCUGCACUUACAUAUGCAACAUAUGGAAAUGAAAUUAAACCAACUAAAACAGAGGAGUUUGCUGUUGAGGGUUCAAGUGUUACAUUAUCCUGCAGUUAUUCAUCUGCAUAUUAUCUUCACUGGUACCGUCAGUAUCCCGGAUCAGCUCCUCAAUUCCUUGUGCUCAUCUCAGACAGUGCAAAAAAACCUGAGGAGUCUGAUGUAGAUUCCAGAUUCACUACUGAAAUCAGAAAAGAAAAAGAAAACCAUGUGGAUCUGAUCAUCUCCUCUGCUGCAGUAUCAGACUCUGCUCUGUAUUACUGUGCUCUGACGCCCACAGUCACAGGAAACACAAGAUCACUGUACAAAAACCUGCUUCUGCUCAGAGUGAGGAAUCAAUGGUCUACUACAGUUUGGGAGAAACGAGACUCUUGAAUCUUGAAUUAUAUUCAGAUCCCCUCCAGUAUGCCAAGUAGCAUCUUGUUGAUUCAAAUAAGCCACAUGCCACAAUUUUGAGCAUUUUUGAAAUACAUUAUUAUAAGUUAAAAGUGUUUGUCUAAAACAUGGCACAAAUCACCUAUUUGCAUGUACAAAAGUCAUAAAUACAAUCAAGUCACACCUUCAGAAAUAAUUACCCACCUUUUCAU
Molecule: non-coding RNA, 958 nt
Organism: Megalobrama amblycephala (Wuchang bream)
Lineage: Eukaryota; Metazoa; Chordata; Actinopteri; Cypriniformes; Xenocyprididae
Source: the annotation of a RefSeq genome assembly